Molecule: ribosomal RNA, 253 nt
Filed under: uncultured bacterium
Lineage: Bacteria
Description: partial 16S ribosomal RNA
Rfam family: Bacterial small subunit ribosomal RNA
Source: RNAcentral
UACGUAGGUGGCAAGCGUUGUCCGGAUUUAUUGGGUUUAAAGGGUGCGUAGGCGGUCUUUUAAGUCAGUGGUGAAAUACUUCAGCUCAACUGGAGAGGUGCCAUUGAUACUGGGAGACUUGAGUACUGAUGAGGUAAGCGGAAUUCCUGGUGUAGCGGUGAAAUGCGUAGAUAUCAGGAGGAACACCUGUGGUGUAGACAGCUUACUGGACCACGACUGACGCUGAGACACGAAAGCGUGGGUAGCAAACAGG